AUGUUAGCAGUUUUCAUGAAUACAACGCAUUGUCACGAACAGUAGUCACCCGUGAAUCACCAUCUGGGUCCUGAACGUAGUGCUCCUAACUGGGAGCACCUUGGGUCAGCAUCUCUCCAGCCUCCCUGCUCCGGCCCGGGGCAGCCACCACUCUGCUUCCCUUCUGUAAGUUCAGCUAUUUUUAGCUCCCACACAUAAGUGAAACGGAUCGUGCAGGAUUUGUGUUUCUGUGCCUAGCGUGUCUCACUUAGCAUAAUGGACAUCUGCCUUUGUGGAGUGAGCCUUGGGUGCAGUGGUUAAGACACUGGGAUACCCGCGUCCUCUAUCAGAGCACCUGGUUCAAGUCCCAGUUCCACUCUGACUCCAGAUGUCGGCUCAUGUGCACCCUGGGAGCAGUAGUGAUGGUCCAAGUAUUUGGGUCCCUGCCACCCACAUGGGAGACCUGUCUGGGUAUUUGGGGGAGUGAACUAACAGAUUGAAGAUCUCUCUGUGUGUCUCUGUCUCUGUCUUUUAAAUAAAAAUAAAUAAAUAAAUAAAUAGAUUUGAACAAAUUAUCUACCUGUACAUAUGUAAACAUAUUAAGAGGAUUGAAAUUGCCUAUGAUGUCAUGUGGGGGCAUCUCAAUGCAUUUUGUUCCAGUCUUUUUUCCGUUAUUGACAAACGCCUCCCUGGUAGCGCUUAACCUAAUCGCUGUCAUGUAAAAUUUGGCGGAGGUUAACUGGGACUUCACUCUGUGGAUCUGGAGAAGAUCUGACCUGUGUACUCAUUUCACACCCACAGGCCUCUGGUCGGGCUUGAUCCUCUGUGUCUUCUUUCAAGCCCUUUUCUACCUGGUGUAUGUUUGGAGGACAAACUGGACAAGAGCUGCAGAGCAGGUAACAGGUGGUGUCUUUUUGGAAACGUGGCCCUGCUUGAUCCCAGCACGUGAUCAGGAACCUCUUAGGGCCAUGAAAUGUAUCUCACAGGCCAGGUGGGGCAGAGGGAAGACCGCCUUGCAGUGCGUUGCAGCGCGUCUUCCUCCUGCUGUGGAGCUGAGUUAACACCUACAGACCGGGGAAUGCACCUUACAAGUGAACAGCAGCAACAGAAAAAGGAAUUCGCUUGCCAAGUAUCUUUCCUGUUUCAGUGUAACAGUUUUAGAGAAAUAGCAGUUUGGGUCCGCUUAUGCAGAUUACUGAUUUGCGUAGGUUUCUUUUCUUUCACUAAAAGGUAGUAUGCUACACAUCUGUGAUCUGUGGGACGCGGCGUAGGGCUAGAGGGUCAAGAUCAUGAUGGAUGCGUCUGUGUUGAGUGGGAAGCCCUUCUCUUGUUUGGGGCUUGAGAGGAGAUGGGUAGGUGCUGGCCUGAGGCGGGGUUGUUGCCCGGAACACCAGGGGUGAGUUUGGUUUCACUGCUGUCCACCAUCAGCUGUACCCAGCCUUUCCGUUUUCAACCCUUUUGAUUUGCCUAACUGAGAUUUAUUUUGUCUUUCUUGCGCUCAGUUUGAUUUACGAGGUGAGUAGAGUGUGGCAGGACCAUAAACUGACACCAUUCAUCUUUAGAAUUUACUGCUUUUACCUGUGUUUAGGAACACUGAAAGGUGUAAGUGCAAACAAUGCACGACACUCGCGAUGCUAGCAACAGGCUUUUUGUACUAUUGCUGUGCGCUCAGCCUGGUUGUCUGGUGUUGUGUUCUGCUGGCCUGAGGCAUUUUCAGGACUAAGAAAGGUGGUGCAAGAUGACGUCACCCUUGAGCGGGAGCUUUGCACUGGAACAGAAGACUGCUACCUUGACUUCCACUUCCGGUACUCACCUGACAUUUGUUUUUAGGCACGGGUUCGAGCUGGGCUAAAAGGGAGUAAAGAGACCAUCCCUCCCCCUACAGGUGGACUCCGGGCUCUCCGUUGAAAUGUGUUGAAUGUAAUUCCAUGUAUCCUGACUGACGACUGGCAGCCAGUGCUUACCAUGUCAUCUCAUACACCUUCCGUGACAGUCCUUUGCUCCACCCGGUUCACAAGGUAACUCCCCCACUGUUCUCUGCAAACAGUUCUACCAAUGCUGGAGAGAGAAGUGCCCGGUGCAGUGAUCUUGCCUGAUGUCAUUGGACCGGAGAGCCAGACGGCCCAGCUGGUGGUUCUAGAAGAAGGCGGCACGCAGUACGUGGUGCCCACUGUCGGGCACAUCUUGUCAACGAGGCAGCUGAUUUUCUACCGCGGAGGGGCUUUAGCUGCUGCUCUUGCUGUCUUUUUGGCCGGAAUUCUAAUAAGAGUUUUUGGGGACCGUGGCUAAAACACUGUCAUCAGCUGUCUACUAACCGAUUACAGAUGAUAGGCAUCAGUUAAGCCUGGAAGGCGACCUUGUCGUUUGGCCGAUGGUCUUCAUGCCCCAGAUGUUAGUGUUGUUCCUUGGUCAUUCUGAGAAGCUACCCUAUCCUAACAGUGGUUCGAGAACGGAGCUAGAAUUUGAAGUAAACUUUUUCUCUGUUGACUCCAUCAUGGUUUCUAAAUCCAUAAAUUUGAUUUUGCCUACUAUAAAGGUUCUUCUUUUUUUUCUUUCUUUAAGAUUUCAUUUACUUGAAAAGCAGAGUGGCAGAGAAAGAGAGAGAGAUCUUCCAUACACUGAUACACUCCCCAGCCACAACACCUGGGGCUGGGCCAGGUCAAAGCCUGGAGCCUGGAACUCCACCCUGGUCUCCCCCAUGAGUGAGAGAGGCCCAAACACUGGGGCCAUCCUUCGCUGCUUUCCCAGGUGCAUUCGCAGGGAGCUGGACCGGAAGUGGAGCAGCAGGGACUUGAACCUGUGCUCAUGUGGGAUGUGGGUGUCGCCAGCAGCGGCUUCACCUGCUGCUCCACAACACUGGCCCCUGGAAAUGUUCUUUUAUGUUCUUUACUCUUUCUGUAUGGAAAAUAGUUUUCCUCCUUCGGGAAGGUUGCUUCAUUUUUUUGUGCUUGGUGGCUGACCUCAUUCAGUUGGUCUGUUAAUGUAUUCUGUUAAUGUCGAGGUUUGAUACAAUGAACAUCUUAAAACCGAAAGUGUGGCUGGCAAUAUUUGGGGAAUAUAAAGUCAAUAAAAGUCGUUUUCAUUUU
Oryctolagus cuniculus (rabbit) is the source of this 3065-nucleotide non-coding RNA. The record is from RefSeq and is a predicted model, not a curated record. NCBI's taxonomy places the organism in Eukaryota, Metazoa, Chordata, Mammalia, Lagomorpha, Leporidae.